Molecule: long non-coding RNA, 2073 nt
Filed under: Pelobates cultripes (western spadefoot toad)
Lineage: Eukaryota; Metazoa; Chordata; Amphibia; Anura; Pelobatidae
Source: RNAcentral
CCUUAAGAUGACCUAACGCAUCCACUCAGUGCCCAGGAGUUAAAUAACCAUAAAUGCUCAGUCUAUGUGGAUACUUCAUUGGGCAUGGAAUAUUUGUUUUAAUUUUGUGAGGGGUUUUUGAACUGCAGGUGCUUUUUAUUUUUCAGUUACCAUUUGGGAUAUUACGGAUAUUUAUUUAGCCUUUUUGCAGCCAGAGAAAGAUGGCUCUAGAAGAAAAAAGACUUCUGAUGGUAAACAUAUUUUGUUUUCAAGAAUUUUUGUAUUUUUUAGCUCCUAAGCCCCAUCAGUAUUAUUAGGGUCUGGUGGGUGUAUCAUUGUGGGAGAGUGGCUAUGGUCAUUUGACCAGAAUGAGAAAAUAACGAUAAAAUUUGGCAGUGAGAUUUGCAAAUCUGGUUGGAAUCUGGAUGGUUUUAUCAUAUUUUGGUGAUUAGUGAUUAAUCCUAAAAGUUUUAUUUACUAAUGUGAUGUCCAAAUUGUAGGCCUAAAUAACGGAAACGAUAACAUAACUGACUUGGAAGUUAUAUUUUCAAUUCAACUAUUUGACCUAAAAUUUGAAAUUCAUUUUUAAUUCACGUUGAAUUCCUGACAAAUUAUACUUUGAGAAAUAACUCAAUUUUGUUUUACAAAAGUGAGAAUUCAAAAUAAAUUUAUAGUGAAUUCUUUCCUACCUGGAGGAAUAUAACAUGUUCUGUUGUUUUCACCAAUUAUAAUGCUUCUUUUUGAGCUUAAAGUCAAUCUGUCUCUUCUUGUCGUCUUUGCUUCUGUUGCAAAACCCUUUGAAAGUUUCAGAUUUUUUUUUUUAACGAAAACAUGAGUGAGCAGGAAAAACACAUUUCUUUUAUUUCUUAUGGGAUUCAUAUUCAACUGUAGGUUAUAACAGAAUUGCACAAUCAUAAAACAAAACAUGGCAACAAAGAAAAGAAUUAAAUGACCCAUGUUCAAAGGUCUGCAUACCCUUAGUUCUUAAUACUGUGUAUUGCCCCCUUUGGUAUCAUUGACAGUGUGCAGUCUUUUGUAAUAGUUGUCUAUGAAGCCUCUUAUUCUUGCAGGUGUAAUAGCUGCCCAUUCGUCUUGGCAAAAUGCCUCCAGGUCAUGCAAAAUCUUUGGUCUUCUUGCAUGAUCCGCACCUUUGAGAUCUCACCAGAAUGGCUCGAUGAUAUUAAGGUCAGGAGACUGUGAUGGCCACUCCAGAACUUUCACCUUUUUCUGCUGUAACCACUGUAGGGUCAACUUGGCCUCAUGCUUAGAGUCAUUGUCAUGCUGGAAAGUCCAAGAGCGUCCCAUGCAUAGUCUUCGUGCAGAAGAAUGCAAAUUGUCUGCCAGUAUUUUCUGUUAACAUGCUGCAUUCAUCUUGCCAUCAAUUUUCACACGAUUCCGUGUGCCUUUAGUGCUCUCCCCCUAUCCCCCCCAAAACAUCAGUGAGCCACCACCAUUCUUCAUAGUGGAGAUGGUAUUCUUUUCACUAUAGGCCAUGUUGACCCCUCUCCAAACAUAACUCUCAUGGUUCUAACCAAACAGCUCUAUUUUGGUCUAGUCACUGCAAACUACAGUGUGCCAGAAGUUGUGAGGCAUGUCAAGGUGUUAUCAGGCAUAUUGUAACCAAGCUUUUUUUGUGGCAUUGGCGCAGUAAAGGCUUCUUUCUGGCAACUCAGCCAUGCAGCUCAUUUUUGUUCAAGUAUCGUCGUAUUGUGCAACCACACCAUCUUUUUCCAGAGUAGCCUGUAUUUCUCCUGGGGUUACCUGUGGGCUUUUCUUUGUAUCCUGAACAAUUCUUCUGGCAGUUGUGGCUGAAAUCUUUCAUGGUCUGCCUGACCUUGGCUUGGUAUCGAGAGAUCCCCAAAUUUUCCACUUCUUAAUAAGGGAUUGAACAGUACUGACUGGCAUUUUCAAGGCUUUAAGGACCAAACUUCUGUAAUAAAAGGGGUUGUGUCAUGUGUCCUUAAGGGGUUAAAUAUCUUUGUAUAUCCUUUUCCAUCUUUAUAAAGUUUCAUUACCUUGUUACGCAUGUCUUUUGACAGGUAUUUUCUGCUCCCCAUGGCUCAGUAUCUAGCCUGCUCAGUGCAUCUACGUGAG